AGGAUGAACGCUAGCUACAGGCUUAACACAUGCAAGUCGAUGGGCAGCAUGGUCUUAGCUUGCUAAGGCCGAUGGCGACCGGCGCACGGGUGAGUAACACGUAUCCAACCUGCCGUCUACUCUUGGACAGCCUUCUGAAAGGAAGAUUAAUACAAGAUGGCAUCAUGAGUCCACAUGUUCACAUGAUUAAAGGUAUUCCGGUAGACGAUGGGGAUGCGUUCCAUUAGAUAGUAGGCGGGGUAACGGCCCACCUAGUCUUCGAUGGAUAGGGGUUCUGAGAGGAAGGUCCCCCACAUUGGAAUUGAGACACGGUCCAAACUCCUACGGGAGGCAGCAGUGAGGAAUAUUGGUCAAUGGGCGAGAGCCUGAACCAGCCAAGUAGCGUGAAGGAUGGCUGCCCUAUGGGUUGUAAACUUCUUUUAUAAAGGAAUAAAGUCGGGUAUGCAUACCCGUUUGCAUGUACUUUAUGAAUAAGGAUCGGCUAACUCCGUGCCAGCAGCCGCGGUAAUACGGAGGAUCCGAGCGUUAUCCGGAUUUAUUGGGUUUAAAGGGAGCGUAGAUGGAUGUUUAAGUCAGUUGUGAAAGUUUGCGGCUCAACCGUAAAAUUGCAGUUGAUACUGGAUAUCUUGAGUGCAGUUGAGGCAGGCGGAAUUCGUGGUGUAGCGGUGAAAUGCUUAGAUAUCACGAAGAACUCCGAUUGCGAAGGCAGCCUGCUAAGCUGCAACUGACAUUGAGGCUCGAAAGUGUGGGUAUCAAACAGGAUUAGAUACCCUGGUAGUCCACACGGUAAACGAUGAAUACUCGCUGUUUGCGAUAUACUGCAAGCGGCCAAGCGAAAGCGUUAAGUAUUCCACCUGGGGAGUACGCCGGCAACGGUGAAACUCAAAGGAAUUGACGGGGGCCCGCACAAGCGGAGGAACAUGUGGUUUAAUUCGAUGAUACGCGAGGAACCUUACCCGGGCUUAAAUUGCAGAUGAAUUACGGUGAAAGCCGUAAGCCGCAAGGCAUCUGUGAAGGUGCUGCAUGGUUGUCGUCAGCUCGUGCCGUGAGGUGUCGGCUUAAGUGCCAUAACGAGCGCAACCCUUGUUGUCAGUUACUAACAGGUUCUGCUGAGGACUCUGACAAGACUGCCAUCGUAAGAUGUGAGGAAGGUGGGGAUGACGUCAAAUCAGCACGGCCCUUACGUCCGGGGCUACACACGUGUUACAAUGGGGGGUACAGAGGGCCGCUACCACGCGAGUGGAUGCCAAUCCCAAAAACCUCUCUCAGUUCGGACUGGAGUCUGCAACCCGACUCCACGAAGCUGGAUUCGCUAGUAAUCGCGCAUCAGCCACGGCGCGGUGAAUACGUUCCCGGGCCUUGUACACACCGCCCGUCAAGCCAUGGGAGCCGGGGGUACCUGAAGUGCGUAACCGCGAGGAGCGCCCUAGGGUAAAACUG
RNAcentral lists this ribosomal RNA (1440 nucleotides) under uncultured organism. RNAcentral's name for it is "16S ribosomal RNA". It matches the Rfam family "Bacterial small subunit ribosomal RNA". The record is from RNAcentral.